RNAcentral lists this small RNA (1479 nucleotides) under Ralstonia solanacearum. Its description in RNAcentral is "bacterial LSU rRNA". The stretch from base 473 to 1479 matches the Rfam family "Bacterial large subunit ribosomal RNA", at positions 1 to 1052 of the family's 2925-position model. The record is from RNAcentral. Lineage: Bacteria; Pseudomonadati; Pseudomonadota; Betaproteobacteria; Burkholderiales; Burkholderiaceae.
CUUAUCGGUUUGUUUGAUGUUACAGCCAAGGGUCUGUAGCUCAGGUGGUUAGAGCACCGUCUUGAUAAGGCGGGGGUCGUAGGUUCAAGUCCUACCAGACCCACCAAGUUACGGGCGGCGGAGAGCGAUCUUGCCGUGAACUGGGGGAUUAGCUCAGCUGGGAGAGCACCUGCUUUGCAAGCAGGGGGUCGUCGGUUCGAUCCCGUCAUCCUCCACCAACACCUUGUGGUAGCCAAACGCAAGCAUCGAGAGAUCGGUGUUUGCGUUUGGCAUUGCCAAGACGAGUAGUAACUCGGCUGUUCUUUAACAAUAUGGAAUGUAGUAAAGGUGUCGCGGCGCGUUGAUGAGGCGCGCAAUUUAAACGCGACACUGGGUUGUGAUUGUAUCAACCAGUAUUACGAGUGAUCGAAAGACCGCUUGGAAUACGGCACAACGCGAGAACUCAGCCUAUAGCGAGACAUACUCGUUAUAGGGUCAAGCGAAUAAGUGCAUGUGGUGGAUGCCUUGGCGAUCACAGGCGAUGAAGGACGUAGUAGCUUGCGAAAAGCUGCGGGGAGCUGGCAAACGAGCUUUGAUCCGCAGAUGUCCGAAUGGGGAAACCCGGCCCGUAUGGGUCAUCCCUUGCUGAAUACAUAGGCAAGGGAGGCGAACGCAGUGAACUGAAACAUCUAAGUAGCUGCAGGAAAAGAAAUCAACCGAGAUUCCCAGAGUAGUGGCGAGCGAAAUGGGAACAGCCUUGUACUCUUUAGCAGUAUUGUUAGCGGAACGGAAUGGAAAGUCCGGCCAUAGUGGGUGAUAGCCCCGUACGCGAAAACAGUAUUGUGGAACUAGGUGUACGACAAGUAGGGCGGGACACGUGAAAUCCUGUCUGAAGAUGGGGGGACCAUCCUCCAAGGCUAAAUACUCGUGAUCGACCGAUAGUGAACCAGUACCGUGAGGGAAAGGCGAAAAGAACCCCGGGAGGGGAGUGAAAUAGAUCCUGAAACCGCAUGCAUACAAACAGUCGGAGCCUGGAAACGGGUGACGGCGUACCUUUUGUAUAAUGGGUCAGCGACUUACAUUCAGUGGCAAGCUUAACCGAUUAGGGAAGGCGUAGCGAAAGCGAGUCCGAAUAGGGCGUUCAGUCGCUGGGUGUAGACCCGAAACCAAGUGAUCUAUCCAUGGCCAGGUUGAAGGUGCGGUAACACGUACUGGAGGACCGAACCCACUAACGUUGAAAAGUUAGGGGAUGAGCUGUGGAUAGGGGUGAAAGGCUAAACAAACUUGGAAAUAGCUGGUUCUCUCCGAAAACUAUUUAGGUAGUGCCUCGUGUCUCACCUUCGGGGGUAGAGCACUGUCAUGGUUGGGGGGUCUAUUGCUGAUUACCCCGCCAUAGCAAACUCCGAAUACCGAAGAGUGCAAUCACGGGAGACAGACAUCGGGUGCUAACGUCCGGUGUCAAGAGGGAAACAACCCAGACCGCCAGCUAAGGUCCCUAAG